GAUGAACGCUAGCUGGAGGCUUAAUACAUGCAAGUCGACGGGAUUGGUAGCAAUACCAUGAGAGCGGCGCACGGGUGAGUAACGCGUACACGACCUACCUCUGACAGGGGGAUAGCCCUGGGAAACUGGGAUUAAUACCGCAUAUUAUUCUGAUUAAUAAAGGAUUGGAAUGAAAGUUCAGGCGGUCAGAGAUGGGUGUGCGUCUGAUUAGCUAGUUGGUAGGGUAACGGCCUACCAAGGCGAUGAUCAGUAGGGGGCGUGAGAGCGUGGUCCCCCACACGGGUACUGAGACACGGACCCGACUCCUACGGGAGGCAGCAGUAAGGAAUAUUGGACAAUGGCCGAAAGGCUGAUCCAGCCAUCCAGCGUGCAGGAAGAAGGCCCUAUGGGUUGUAAACUGCUUUUAUCAGGGAAUAAACCUCUGGAUUCACUCCGGAGCUGAAGGUACCUGAAGAAUAAGCACCGGCUAACUCCGUG
Molecule: ribosomal RNA, 477 nt
Filed under: uncultured bacterium
Lineage: Bacteria
Description: bacterial SSU rRNA
Rfam family: Bacterial small subunit ribosomal RNA
Source: RNAcentral